This 567-nucleotide ribosomal RNA is filed under the name uncultured fungus. Its description in RNAcentral is "eukaryotic LSU rRNA". The stretch from base 177 to 330 matches the Rfam family "5.8S ribosomal RNA". Lineage: Eukaryota; Fungi. The record is from RNAcentral.
UCCGUAGGUGAACCUGCGGAGGGAUCAUUACUGAGUGAGGGCCUUCGGGCUCGACCUCCAACCCUUUGUGAACACAACUUGUUGCUUCGGGGGCGACCCUGCCGUUUCGACGGCGAGCGCCCCCGGAGGCCUUCAAACACUGCAUCUUUGCGUCGGAGUUUAAGUAAAUUAAACAAAACUUUCAACAACGGAUCUCUUGGUUCUGGCAUCGAUGAAGAACGCAGCGAAAUGCGAUAAGUAAUGUGAAUUGCAGAAUUCAGUGAAUCAUCGAAUCUUUGAACGCACAUUGCGCCCCUUGGUAUUCCGAGGGGCAUGCCUGUUCGAGCGUCAUUUCACCACUCAAGCCUCGCUUGGUAUUGGGCGCCGCGGUGUUCCGCGCGCCUCAAAGUCUCCGGCUGAGCUGUCCGUCUCUAAGCGUUGUGAUUUCAUUAAUCGCUUCGGAGCGCGGGCGGUCGCGGCCGUUAAAUCUUUUACAAGGUUGACCUCGGAUCAGGUAGGGAUACCCGCUGAACUUAAGCAUAUCGAUAAGCGGAGGAAAAGAAACCAACAGGGAUUGCCCCAGUAACG